RNAcentral lists this ribosomal RNA (253 nucleotides) under uncultured bacterium. RNAcentral describes it as "partial 16S ribosomal RNA". It matches the Rfam family "Bacterial small subunit ribosomal RNA", at positions 524 to 776 of the family's 1533-position model. The record is from RNAcentral.
UACAGAGGAUGCAAGCGUUAUCCGGAAUGAUUGGGCGUAAAGCGUCUGUAGGUGGCUUUUUAAGUCCGCCGUCAAAUCCCAGGGCUCAACUCUGGACAGGCGGUGGAAACUACCAAGCUGGAGUACGGUAGGGGCAGAGGGAAUUUCCGGUGGAGCGGUGAAAUGCGUAGAGAUCGGCAGGAACACCCAGGGGGAAACCAGCCGACUGGGCAAGCGCUGACGCUGAGAGACGAAAGCUAGGGGAGCGAAUGGG